GGUUAGUCGCAGCUAAACUCUCUUAAACAUGUAGAAAUUUAAAAAAUACCAACAUUUGUGUUACCAAAUAAACUUAGGCAGGUAUUUAUAUACCUUGAUGGCCAGCUAAGAAAAGUCUGUGUGUGGGAAACACUGAUUUUAUUUUACUUUAUUACUUUAUAGUUUUGUGAGUUUUACUUUUUUACCACGUGGUGCUAUGAUGGAUAUUGAUGGAUAAAGGCACAUUUUGACCAGAAACAGCCUGAGCUUAUUUUACCACAUCAGUCAGAGCUAUACUCUGUGGUUUUGGAGCAGGCGGUGAAGCCACCAGAGCUGAAUCCAGAGACGGAGGAGAGUCUUCCAUCCCGUCGUUCCCCGGAGGGCCCAGAUCCUCCAGUCCUGACAGAAGUAACCCCCACACCUCCCAGCGACUCCCCUCCAGAUUUGGAGUCUGUUGAGAAAAAGAUGGAUCAAGGCCGGUACAAUUCAUUGGUAAGUGUGCAUUCUUUCUUUCUUUUUUUUCUUUUUUGAGGGGCCCAUUUGUUUUCCGGUAUCUCUGCCGUGCUGACAAACUGGAAUGACAAGUGUGUUGUCUGCUGCAUUUUAAUGAAAAGCAAUUCAUCAGUCUCUGUAACUAGAGAACACGUAGUCGAGGAUCUGUGCAGGCUAACCACAGAUAUUUUUUCUCUAAACAUAUGACAAAGCUCACAAGCUCUCUUGAAGCAGAUUGUACUUUUUUUUUUCUUUUUAAAUCACAGCCUUUAGAGUAGAGCAGGGCGAUAUGACCAAAAAUAUUUAUCACGAUAUACAUUUGAAAAAUUGCGAUAACGAUAUAACUGACGAUAUAAUUGACACUAGACAAAAUGCUUUACAACUCCACAACUUUAUUAGUGCAAAAAACCCCAUCAAUGUAUUUUCACUUAAACAAGCAGCUGUUUUUAUGUGCAUUAAAGUUAUAUAAAAAUGUAACAGUGCAAUUUCCUUGCUGACAGUUUAACCAAAAUGCAUUUCCAGUGGAAACUGGCCG
Molecule: long non-coding RNA, 1006 nt
Organism: Astatotilapia calliptera (eastern happy)
Lineage: Eukaryota; Metazoa; Chordata; Actinopteri; Cichliformes; Cichlidae
Source: Ensembl